CCAGUGGGUUGUCCAGUGAGUGAUUCCUGUUUCCCCUAAGGCUGCCUCUCAUUAGCAUGAAUCGGGGGAAGGGCAUAAAAGACUCCAGUUCAUUUGGAGUCUGGAAAAUCUUUACUUCAAAAUGACAACCAAAGUGUUCUGGCUCCUCUGCUUUGCCAUUAGAUCAUCUUCCAGCUCCGUGGCCGGAUCCCUGCCCUAUGCUGAGAAACAACAUCAGACUCUCAGCAAAGAUGCUUACAGCUCAGCAGGCACUGCACCUGGCCACGUCAAACUGCCAGCCUGGGGCAGCAGCAGAGAGAACCACACAGAGCACUGGCUCCUGCCUCCUGCUGACCUGCAGUGGCCAAAACCUCCUGAAGUCACCUUCCUCUCCUCGGACAAAAAGAAACGCACCAAACCUGCUCUAGAGAACAGCACGGGGCUGAGGAAACACCUCCUGCAGUAUGGAGGGGCCCUGCCACUGGAGAGCACGACUGAGGGGCCUGCUCCUGCCUCUUUUGACUUCAAUCAUGCCAACAGAAAGCACAUGGACAGGCGGCUGGCUGAGGCUGCCAACAGCAUCUCAGCUCACUUCCACCACGCAGCAUCUCCCUAUCACAAGAUGACAUCCUUAGUGGAGGCUCAUCUCUUUCCAGACUCUGGAGCAGUGGAAGCAGGUGAUCCUAAUGCACUGGAUCACUUCAACCGACCAGGCAAGAUAAUCCCCUACAAACAUAUUGAUCCCUUCCAAAAGACCACCAGACCCUCCUGGGUCACCAACCGCCAGUCAUCCAGCUUGCUGUACCACCUCAAUGCACUAAAGAAAGAUGGUGAUAAGGAGAAGGCAUGUCUGACUGAGUGCAGGAAAGAGAGAGAUGAAGUGGAGGCCUACUGCACAAGUGAAUUCGCAGCAGUGAACGGUAUUGUGUAUAACAUGGAAAAACUGGGGAAUGGCAUCCACCUGAUCACACUUCUGGUAAACAACGAUGGACUGUACAAGAUGAGUCGCCUCUAUACCACUCCUGAUGCCUUCUUCUUUCGAGUUCACAUGCUAGUUGUGGAUACUUUCAACUGCAGUAAACCGUGUCUGGACUUGAAAAUUGGCAGCAGAUACAUUGUGAUGGGUCAGAUCUACCACAAGAGACGACAGAUCUCUGCAGCCCUGCUGCCUUUCCUGCGAGGGCGCCUGAGCCCGGGGGAUGGUUUGCUUCGGAGCGGCAGCAGCUACGUGAAGAGAUUUAACAGGAAGAGGAACCGCAAGGUGCUGGCGGCUCGCACCAAGUGCAGAUAAGGCUUCAGUGACAUCCCUCUGACAGGCAGCAGCAGAAUUCACCAACCAGAAUAAACCAGGCCGUGGUUUAGCAACAGCAGAAGGGAUGUCGGCACCACUAGAAACCUGCUAGAGGGAUGACAGCUGCUUUGGAAUGCGACGUAGUAAACGCUCCUCUUGGAGCAGAAUGAAGUCAAGAUCUCCCUGGUCACCCCCACCCCUACCACUCUGCAGUGUCUACACUUCCGAACAGAUCCCCGAAGCGUUACAAACGUAUUAGUGCACACGCAAAGACACCUACAUCUGUGGGGAGAACAAUGAUCUCCAUUUAUUUUGUUUCAUAUACAUCCAUAUUUUGAAUUUUAAUACAAAAGAAAAAAAAAUUAGAAUCUGACAAAUGUUUACAAACAAGAUACCUUCAAAUAGAUUUUACUCAUUUCAGUCUGGUGCAGAGUAAAUGACAAAUUGUACUGUUAUAUUCAAGGCAACAGAGUCUGUAGUCCAUGACCACUUAGCCCAACUUUUAUGCAAGCUUAAUUGUUUUUAUCUACCAUGAACGAUAAACUCCUUGUUGAUUCCCAGUUCUGUGUGUGUGCACAUGUGUACAUAGCAGCUCCUUUCAUAGAAAGAAAAGACAUCUAGAGGUCUUCUUGUACUUUUACCUACAGGAAUCAUGUUAAGAUACAGAAUGGAUUACAUGUAACCGGGGCUGGAUUUUAUAAGAAAAAAUAAUUAGCUGACAAAUGAGGGCAGCAAUAAAAAAGCGUCUUUUUUGCAACAAUAAAUAAAUACAGUCAAAGUUUUCUGUGUGGACUUUAAACCAGCUUCUUCACUGAAGAACAGACGUGGCAUUUCCAUGGAGUUAAACGUGACCCCAUUUACUGUAUCUUUUUUUCUUGCUCUCUUUCUCUCUCUCCUUCAACAAAACCAAGUUUUCCUGCUUCUGCCACAAUAGUACAACAAUUUGCUCUUGACAAGAAAGUGGUGCUGCUGAUUUUUAUCUCUUUGUCCUUUGGACAAAAUAAGCCGAGAAUAUAAUCUGACUGUUGUGACCAAUAAAAACGCAGUUUACAUCGAGUCUCGUCAGGAUAACCUGACUAAAAACAUCUGGCUUCUUAAUUAAAACCUUUCAGACAACCAGA
RNA transcript from Melopsittacus undulatus (budgerigar), 2391 nucleotides. It is a transcript of the gene named chromosome 11 C17orf58 homolog, with no coding region annotated. NCBI's taxonomy places the organism in Eukaryota, Metazoa, Chordata, Aves, Psittaciformes, Psittaculidae. The transcript is spliced from 6 exons. The record is from RefSeq and is a predicted model, not a curated record.